GCAGGAGGAGGAGGAGGAAGAGGAAGUGGCCCCUCUGCUUUACGGGGCUGUGAUUCCAGUGGUAAAUGCGGAAAUACGGCUUGGCUGAGUGCCGCGUUCGGCCAGGGCCAGCUCCCAGGAACAGCCGGGCUGCGAGGCCAUGACCCAGGGCCUGGGAACACAGUGAGGCCUGGCCAUGCUGCGAGGCCUCAGAGGGGCGGACUGCUUAGGAGGCCAACGACCUUCCUAAGGGUGGGCAGUCAGGGAAGGGCCAACAGCAUGCCCGCUGUGUCCUCAGGCGGGCCCUCCCUCCCUGGGACCCUCCCAGUGCCAGCCUCCUGCCUGGGCCAGGCUGGGAGCUCCCUGACUGCUCUGGUCCCUGGGCUGCUCCCACGAGCCUGACUCUGACGGUGUCUGCUGCACAUCAUCCGCGGAGUCCCGAGUUUCGGCCACUGCGGUCGUCCCCAUUUCACAGCCAGGAAACAGAGGACAGGGGAAGUCAACUGGAGGUCACGCGGUGAUUCCGUGGCCUGUGGUGUCUGGAAAACUUUGAAUUCCAUGACUGUCUGGGGCCAAAAACGAUGAGUGCACAACAAGAAAACCCUCCCAGGAGGCCUGGGCAGCCAGGACGCGCAUCUGUGCAGGACCCUCAGCGGAGGUGCGGCCAGCGGACCUGCACCUAGAGCUCCCGGCAUGCCCAACCCUGCAGGUUCAGUGUCCUUGUCAUUCCCCAUGAGCCAGAGGCACGUGACGCUGGGGGCUUCAUCCUGUGGCCACAGGAAGGCUCCAGAACACUUUAGACAGAGUGACAGGGUCAGAGGUGUUUUUAUUUUCAUGUUUUAAUUUUGUUCGAGAUAAGAGUCUUGCUCUAUCGCUCCAGCUGGAGUGCAAUGGCUUGAUCUCCACUCACUGCAACCUCCGCCUCCCGGGUUCAAGCAAUUCUCCUGCCUCAGCAUCCCAAGUAGCUGAGAUUACAGGCGUGCACCACUACGCCCGGCUAAUUUUUGUAUUUUUAGUAGAGACAGGGUUUUGCCAUGUUGGCCAGGAUGGUCUCGAACUCCUGACCUCAAGUGAUCCACCUGCCUUAGCCUCCCAAAGUGCUGGGAUUAUAGGCGUGAGCCCCUGCACCUGGCCCAGAGGCACUUUGCAAGAAGGGCUGAGAGGGGCAGGGGAGUGCAGUAGGGAGCUACUUGGGGAGCAGGCGGCCUGCCAGGGCACAGGUGACAGUGACAGUGUCAAGGGUGGCAAGGUGUUGAGGAAGCCACUCCUAGGAGGUGGUCACUGGUGUGGAGGGCAGAGGGGCUGUUAGGCCACGCACAGAUUUCUGGCUUAGAAAUAACUGACUGGCAGGCGAUGCCCUACACCAAGACAGGGAGCACUGAGAGAGGUCAGGCUUCAGGGCAGUUUGGGGAUUCCUGUGAGGCACCCAAGUUGGCAGCUCAGGAGGCAGGGGGCAGCUGGAGGCAGCAUGGGAGACACUGGCGCCUGGGGAUCCGGAGAGCACCCAGGGAGGGUGGCAGGCUGGGAAGAGGCUGAAGCCAGCAAGGGGCCUGGAGAAGGUCAGGGAGGCUUGUGUCAGGAAGAGAGAAAGAGAGGCCAAGUACAUCCCACACAUGCACAUGGGCCAGGCAUGGGCCAUGCAGGCUAGGAUGGAUGCCCAGGAGGUGCUGCGGGGAUGACCACCCCACCCCCUGCCCCAGCUCCUCCCCGCAGCUUCGGAAUUCCCAGGCAGCCCAUGGGCCUAGAGACCCUGCUCGGAUAAGGAAAGGAAAAAAUACAUUCUUUGUGUCCCUUUCCCACAAGCCGCUACAAUCAUCAUCUUUGUUCCCUGAUUGCAGCAAAUGAUAGGGAAAUGGACGGCCGUUCGAAUUCCUGUUGAACUUUUAAGAGAAGUCCCCUCAGAGCCCUGGGGAAGGGUGGCAAGCUGUGGGUGAUGGAAGCUGGCCGGCGGGGAAGGGCUCCAUGGAGCGCUGGCCUGUAUGCGUCCGUGGGGAGCUAACUGGAAAAUGAAGCUUCCACAAGGACAUGAGGCUGGCUUUUAGAACGGGCUUGAAACCAAAAGACACAGGCAAGAUGCCCUCCAUGGGGAAAAGUUGGGAAAUAAUUGUCAGAGAAGGUCAAAGGUGCUGGCGCCAUUGUCCUGGGACGCCUCCUGGCUCUGCCGACCUUGUCUCUGCCAACCUUGACUUUGCCGGUGCCGAGUUGGUGUAGGAUGGGCCCCAGGCCCGGGACAUCUGCUUCUCUCACUUCUGGCUUUGUCUCCACCUCCACCUCCACCGCUCCUGAUUGUCCGAGGGAGUAACAAGAAACUCACACACGCAGACAUGUACAUGUGUGCACACAAAUAGCACACACACCCAUAUGCAUAUACAGAGACAUGCACAGGUGCUCACUCACAUAUACAUGCAACACACACGGGUGCAUUCAUGCAUGCACACACAGGUAUGUGUGUACACAGACGUGUGCAAGCACAUAUGCGUAUUUGUACAUGCAUAUACACAUGUGCUAACACAGGUGCCACACACGUACACAUGUGCACACACAUGCCUGCUCACAUGUACCUGUGCACACACGUGCCUGCUCACAUGUAUGUGUGCGCACACACACACAGACACAAGCACAUGCCCUUGUGCACACAGGUAUGGCAGGCCCAACGUGGCAGGCAGGCUUCACCAGGUACUUGGUGUGGAGCUGGUUGCUCCCACUCCUGCCUUUCUCUGCUGAGCAAGGAGGUGGAGCCGUGGCCUUGGGGAACUCCCAACUCCCAUCUCUGGGCGGCACACAGACCCCUGCUGAAAGUCGGACAGAUUUGCUCACUCUGGUUUCUGGGAUUCCAAGGGCAGACUGCAGGGAUCUCCCAGCAACGUGAGAGGGCACGACCCUGACAGACACGCCAUUCCUCUUUCUGUCAACCGGUGGAAUCCAAGCAAGAGCAGCCCCUCACCGGCCGUGUGGUCACGGCUGCCUUAGGCCACCUUCCUGCCCUCCUGUCCCUCGCUCCAGGGUGUGCCAGGCGUGUUCUGAGUGUGGGCGCAGGCAGCACCAGGCUCGAGAAGGAGUGAUGUACAGAUGGACAGCUGUCCUGCCUACUGGCCUAAGCGGUCAGUCCCUCAGCUACAUGGGCCAGGGCCAUGGGAGGCUCCAGAAACAAGGCCACUGCCCACAGCACCGGCAUUUGCAGUAGGUGUGUGGAAGCAGCUGCAGGCCAGAGGCAGGAGCCAGGGAAAUGUGGCGCCCAGGCCGUCUUGUCCCCUCUGGGCCUCCAUGUCCCCACCUGCACCGUGGCUCGAUGGAGCAGGACAUCUCCCUGGGGGUGGCAGCCACGUUGCCCUCCCGCCAGGAGCCUCCCGUGAGCCCCAGGGCACAGGCCCGCUUCCCCUCCAGGGCUGUACAUUUGCCUUUUAGGAGCCAGAGUUGAGCAGCUCCUGGCUGGGUGUUGGGAACCGUGCCCCAGGCCCAUGGACAGCACAGCCAGCCUCUUGGAAGUCUCAGAAAAUGUAUCACCCGUCACAGGGAUGGUUUCCUGUCUCUGCAGAUACUUCACUCUCCCCUCCCCCGACUCCUCCUCCUGGGCCAUUUCCCAGAAGCGCUCAUCCCCAUGCCCACACGAACACAAACCUCCACGCAGCACUGACCAAGAGCCAGGCCCUACCCCAGGACCUCACAGAUGUCACCUUCGCGGUCCUUUCAGCAACCGAAUGAGGUAGGCCUAUCAUUAUCCCCUCUUCACAGAUGGGGAAACCGAGGCACGGAGCUGUGAAGUGACUUGCCCAAGGCCCCACCGGCAGCCAGUGGCAGAGCCAGGUGCCCCCCAAGAUGUUCACGCCCUAAUCCUCAGGAUCUGCAGACAUGUCACCUUUCAUGGCAAAAGGUCUUUGCAAAUGUGAUGAAACAUCUGAAGAUGGCAAGAUUCUCUUAGGUGAUCUCAGUGGGUCCCAGGUAAGCACAAGGGUCUUUAUGAGAGGAAGAAGGUAUUUGUUGAUGUCUCUUUCAUUCCUGCUGAUCACUUGAUGAAUACGGAGUUGGCCAGAUUUCUCCACUGAAAAGUUACUGUGUUUCCUUUUGUCAUUAACAAGCAUCUUGUUGGGCGAUACUUUGAGACUUUGUAAAUAUCCUAUUACUCAAAUUUUCACCCGCUAAUUUUAGCAUCCUUAGAUGACUCCACCUGGAUGGGUUAUUAUUAUAAUGGUUAUUAAAUGGUGAUUCCAUCA
This is a long non-coding RNA of Homo sapiens (human), 4190 nucleotides long. RefSeq lists it as uncharacterized. The record is from RefSeq and is a predicted model, not a curated record. The transcript has 2 exons. NCBI's taxonomy places the organism in Eukaryota, Metazoa, Chordata, Mammalia, Primates, Hominidae.